This is an RNA transcript of Tripterygium wilfordii, 1352 nucleotides long. It is a transcript of the gene named protein kish-like, with no coding region annotated. The transcript is spliced from 7 exons. The record is from RefSeq and is a predicted model, not a curated record. NCBI's taxonomy places the organism in Eukaryota, Viridiplantae, Streptophyta, Magnoliopsida, Celastrales, Celastraceae.
GAAUGAUUAGAAAAAAUAGACUUUGAAAGCCGAAAUAUCCAAUCGACAACGACAGAAGAUAUGGUGAGUUGGAGAGUUUGAGCUUUCAAAACACACACAAAACAUUUCCAAAGAAAGUCAAACUAUCAAUUAUGAUAGUUGAUUAGACCCCUGAGUAUACACUCGGAAGGUUCUAAUUUGGUUAUCAUUGUCCCGUUGGGUUUUAGUAGCCCAACUUAUUUUAUCGUCUAGUGUGAAACUUCUGUAUAUGAGGGUUUGAUAUCUGAGUGAGUUUAGAUCUAUAUUUGAUGUUCUCAUCGGUUGGGUUUUACUCAAUCAAGUGAUUUAUAAAGGCAAACCUACACUUAACAUUCAACAAGGCUCCAUAAUAAUGACAAAGUCGUGAGGAUAAUUUGAUUUAUCCAGAGUUAAUCAGAAUCCUAGAUUGAACAAUAUUGUUAGUGUGUCAAAUGACAAACUUGUAUGAUAUUGUUUUUUAGGUUAAAAAAAAGAAGAAUUAUGUAGGAAGAAGCAUGGGCAUCAACAUACUUUCAGCCUUUGUACUUUGUACACUCGGGGUCAGUUAUUGCGGCGAGGGAGGUAUCGGAAGAAGGAAGCAUGAAUAUCGGUGUAUGGGCUUUGCCCUUGGUUCUUCAUUAUAAGUUCGAUGCCGUUAUAGGCUUCUGGCUUUCUAGUGAACAGAUGGAUUGCAAAGGGCUAUAAGAAUGGGCCUUCAUUUUCAGAGGUUUACUAUUGGGCCUCUAUUUGUCUUGGGUUUUGACUGUGGGCCGUUCUUCAACCUCUGAUUCCAUAUAUAAAUAUAAAAACCGCCAAUCCAUUUUCACUCAAAUUAGACACUGAAAGAACGGGAGGGAAGGAAUCGUCGUCGGAUCGGAGAAUGACUUGAUUUCAUCAAAACUCGACACGCCUUGCGUCGUUCUUUCAUUGAAAUCGAUUGAAAGCGGGAGAAGAAAUCCUUAGUUUAAGGAGAAUUCAGACAUGUCAGCUCUCUUCAAUUUCCAUUCAUUCUUAACAGUGGUGCUAUUGGGACUCUGUACAUGCACUUAUCUGAAGAUGCAUUUUCCGGCUAUUCUUGAGCAGAGAAUGGAGUUUCGCGGUUUCUUUUGGAAGGCGGCAAGAAUUGGUGAACGGUUAAGCCCCUGGAUGGCUGUAGGAUGCUUUUCAAUGGGAGUUUCAAUAAUAUUUUUCUGAGCUAGAACCAUCUUGUCUUUCAGAACUUCUGUAGAUGGUGGCCUUGAAAUGAAAGGAUCUUACGCCAAGCGCUUCAACAAAGAUUGCGACAAGAGAUGACAAAAAAGGAUGGCCUUUUGUACUAAGGGGAGUUUCCUUCUUCUUCUUCCUUGUCUCCCCUC